UGAACUCGGCAAAUUGCCCCCGUAACUUCGGGAGAAGGGGGGCCUCCGCUGGUGAUCAGACUUGCUUUGUGAGCUGGUGGGGGUCGCAGAGGCCAGGGGGAAGCGACUGUUUACUAAAAACACAGGUCCGUGCGAAGUCGUAAGACGAUGUAUACGGACUGACGCCUGCCCGGUGCUGGAACGUUAAGGGGACCGGUUAGCGCAUUUCGGUGUGCGAGGCUGAGAACUUAAGCGCCAGUAAACGGCGGUGGUAACUAUAACCAUCCUAAGGUAGCGAAAUUCCUUGUCGGGUAAGUUCCGACCUGCACGAAUGGCGUAACGACUUCCCCGCUGUCUCAACCGCAGACCCGGCGAAAUUGCACUACGAGUAAAGAUGCUCGUUACGCGCAGCAGGACGGAAAGACCCCGGGACCUUCACUACAGCUUGACAUUGGCGUUUGGAACGUCUUGUGUAGGAUAGGUGGGAGACUGUGAAGCUGUCACGCUAGUGGCGGUGGAGUCAUUGGUGAAAUACCACUCUGGUCGUUUUGAACGUCUAACUUCGGUCCGUGAUCCGGAUCAGGGACAGUGUCUGGUGGGUAGUUUAACUGGGGCGGUUGCCUCCUAAAGAGUAACGGAGGCGCCCAAAGGUUCCCUCAGCCUGGUUGGUAAUCAGGUGUCGAGUGUAAGUGCACAAGGGAGCUUGACUGUGAGACCGACGGGUCGAGCAGGAGCGAAAGCUGGGACUAGUGAUCCGGCGGUGGCAUGUGGAAGCGCCGUCGCUCAACGGCUAAAAGGUACCCCGGGGAUAACAGGCUGAUCUUCCCAAGAGUCCAUAUCGACGGGAUGGUUUGGCACCUCGAUGUCGGCUCGUCGCAUCCUGGGGCUGGAGUAGGUCCCAAGGGUUGGGCUGUUCGCCCAUUAAAGCGGUACGCGAGCUGGGUUUAGAACGUCGCGAGACAGUUCGGUCCCUAUCCGCUGCGCGCGCAGGAGACUUGAAAGGAGCUGUCCCUAGUACGAGAGGACCGGGACGGACGAACCUCUGGUGUGCCAGUUGUUCCGCCAGGAGCAUGGCUGGUUGGCUACGUUCGGAAGGGAUAACCGCUGAAAGCAUCUAAGCGGGAAGCUCGCCUUGAGAUGAGGUCUCCCACCACGAAAGUGGGUAAGGCCCCCGGGAGACGACCGGGUUGAUAGGCCGGAGGUGGAAGCAUGGUAACGUGUGGAGCUGACCGGUACUAAUAGGCCGAGGACUUGACCUC
RNAcentral lists this ribosomal RNA (1238 nucleotides) under metagenome. RNAcentral's name for it is "bacterial LSU rRNA". It matches the Rfam family "Bacterial large subunit ribosomal RNA", at positions 1709 to 2925 of the family's 2925-position model. The record is from RNAcentral.